Molecule: RNase P RNA, 388 nt
Filed under: Candidatus Gracilibacteria bacterium 28_42_T64
Lineage: Bacteria; Candidatus Altimarinota
Description: RNase P RNA component class A
Rfam family: Bacterial RNase P class A
About the family: Ribonuclease P (RNase P) is a ubiquitous endoribonuclease, found in archaea, bacteria and eukarya as well as chloroplasts and mitochondria. Its best characterised activity is the generation of mature 5'-ends of tRNAs by cleaving the 5'-leader elements of precursor-tRNAs. Cellular RNase Ps are ribonucleoproteins.
Source: RNAcentral
CAGCAAGGGCAGGUACCUACCUAUUUUUCUUUGAAAAUUAGGAGGAAAGUCUGGACAUCAUGAGGAUAAUCGUAGAAGAUAACUACUUCGGCUUACAUAUAUAAUUCAUAAAAUGUAAGUACCACUAGUGCCACAGAGACUAUACUAAUUCUAACUCGUUAGAAUGAAAGGUGAAAAGUCAUUUGAUGUAAGCAAUUGCUACAAAUGAUGCUAUGAUGUGAGUUAUAGCGUUGGUAAACUGUACGUGAUGCAAUGGGAAUGGUAUUUUUAUUUUGAUACAUCCUCUACUGCAAUAUAAAGAUAUACUCAGCUCGAGCAUAUGGGUGACCAUAUGCCUAGAUAGAUUGGUACCUAGAUACAGAAUCCGGCUUAUUACUCUUGCUAAAUU